Molecule: ribosomal RNA, 797 nt
Filed under: uncultured bacterium
Lineage: Bacteria
Description: bacterial SSU rRNA
Rfam family: Bacterial small subunit ribosomal RNA
Source: RNAcentral
AGAGUUUGAUCAUGGCUCAGAUUGAACGCUGGCGGCAUGCUUUACACAUGCAAGUCGAACGGCAGCACGGGUGCUUGCACCUGGUGGCGAGUGGCGGACGGGUGAGUAAUACAUCGGAACGUGUCCUGAAGUGGGGGAUAACGCAUCGAAAGAUGUGCUAAUACCGCAUAUACUCUGAGGAGUAAAGUAGGGGAUCGAAAGACCUUAUGCUUUUGGAGCGGCCGAUGUCUGAUUAGCUAGUUGGUGGGGUAAUUGCCUACCAAGGCGACGAUCAGUAGUUGGUCUGAGAGGACGGCCAGCCACACUGGGACUGAGACACGGCCCAGACUCCUACGGGAGGCAGCAGUGGGGAAUUUUGGACAAUGGGCGCAAGCCUGAUCCAGCAAUGCCGCGUGAGUGAAGAAGGCCUUCGGGUUGUAAAGCUCUUUCAGUUGAGAAGAAAAGAUUGUAACUAAUAAUUACAGUUCAUGACGGUAUCAACAGAAGUAGCACCGGCUAACUACGUGCCAGCAGCCGCGGUAAUACGUAGGGUGCGAGCGUUAAUCGGAAUUACUGGGCGUAAAGGGUGCGCAGGCGGUUCUGUAAGUCAGAUGUGAAAUCCCCGGGCUUAACCUGGGAACUGCGUUUGAAACUACAGAGCUAGAGUGUGGCAGAGGGGGGUGGAAUUCCAUGUGUAGCAGUGAAAUGCGUAGAGAUAUGGAAGAACAUCGAUGGCGAAGGCAGCCCCCUGGGUUAACACUGACGCUCAUGCACGAAAGCGUGGGGAGCAAACAGGAUUAGAUACCCCGGUAGUCCAA